Molecule: ribosomal RNA, 682 nt
Filed under: uncultured eukaryote
Lineage: Eukaryota
Description: partial 18S ribosomal RNA
Rfam family: Eukaryotic small subunit ribosomal RNA
Source: RNAcentral
UUGGGGCGCCCAUAUUUCCCCUUGGGUCAAUUCCGGAGGGAUAGGUGAGUUCUCAUACACGCGGAAUUGACUCGCUGGGAGAGCAUUUGCCAGGCAUGUUUUCACUGAGCAUGACCGAAAGUAGGCCUAUAAGAGACUUUCGAAUACCGUCGCAUACUUAAGCAUAACCCAUGCCGCCCUGGGACUGGAGGAUGUUCACUGAUUGUAUCCUUCGGCACCUUACGGGAAACUAAGUCUUUGGGUUCCGGGGAAAGAAUGAACCGAAGGUUGAAACUUGAAGGAAUUUAAGCUUGGGCUCCACCUGAUGAGGACCCUGGGGCUUGUUAAAUCUCAACAAAAUUGGGGAUUUUCCUUUAAACCCGAAGGACUAGUCCCUUUGGUGAGGCUUAAUUCUCAUCUUGGCUAGUCCGAGGUCGUGGCUGUUUCCUGUGUGAAUUUGUUAUCUGCGCACAAUUCAACACCACACACGAGCACGAAGGAUAAAAUCCGAAGCCUGAGAUUGCAAAUGAUUGAGCUAACUCACAGGUAACUUCCUUGCCAUCUCUUAGCCGCUUGCCUUCUGUGAAACCGUUCGUGCGAGCUAGCCGGAAUGAAGCGCCCCAACUAUGGCGGCAGAGGCUGGUCUCGCGUAUGAGACUGUUAUUUGACUUCAUCGCUCAUUGACUCUCUGCAUUCCUUUGUU